GGGUUUACAGCUCAGUGGAAGAGCACGUGCUUAGCAUGUACAAGGCCCUGGGUUCAACCCCCAGUACCACCA
RNAcentral lists this transfer RNA (72 nucleotides) under Camelus bactrianus (Bactrian camel). It matches the Rfam family "tRNA". From Rfam's summary of the family: Transfer RNA (tRNA) molecules are approximately 80 nucleotides in length. RNAcentral also lists the same sequence under 2 other names. Lineage: Eukaryota; Metazoa; Chordata; Mammalia; Artiodactyla; Camelidae. The record is from Rfam by way of RNAcentral.